AUGGCCCUGAGGACUCCUGCUCUGUCUCUAGUAAUUUGGCUACUCUGGCUCUCAGGUACCAGAUGUGACAUUCAAGUAACACAAUCUCCAUCCUUCCUGUCAGUGUCUGUAGGAGGCAAAGUGACCAUCACUUGCCUGGCAAGUCAGAGCAUUAGCAAUAACUUUAACUGGUACCAGCAGAGAUCAGGAGAAGCUCCUACACUCUUGAUCUAUUAUGCAAAUAAUUUGCAAUCUGGUGUACCAUCAAGGUUCAGUGGCCAAUAUUCUGGGAAAAGUUUCACUCUAUCCAUCAGUAGCCUGGAAUCUGAAGAAGUUGGAACUUAUUAUUGUCUACAGCAUUACAGUUUUCCUCACACAAUGAUACAAAUCAUGACAUAAACCACAGAAGGAAGCAGAAGUUGGAGUCUAUGCUGUCCCAGGUGCUGCUCCUUUUCUGUGAACGUGCUCACAAUACUUGUAUAUCAAGAAACAGUUCUGCUUGAAAGUCCCCAGAUAUCUGAUUAUUAAUCGUGUUCUCUCUGGUUCUCUGCCAGCAUUCUGUAUGCAUCUACCACAACAGUGGCAAUAAACUGCCUAGCAAAAUGGUCCUUGGAUAUUUCUGGGCAAUUUAAGGAGACACAAAUGAUGCUUUAAUAUGUAUGUGACAUACCACAGGAGAAAAGCUGAAUCCUUGCCUCAUAUGGUUUACCACAAAUGCUGGAUAGACAGUGAAAAUCCUUUCCUUUGAUUUCAAAUUGUAGGAAGGACGUCUAUGGAGCAACUCUAAGGAAACAAAA
Alexandromys fortis (reed vole) is the source of this 776-nucleotide non-coding RNA. The record is from the annotation of a RefSeq genome assembly. NCBI's taxonomy places the organism in Eukaryota, Metazoa, Chordata, Mammalia, Rodentia, Cricetidae.